AGGACUUGGGGAUAGGUACGCUGUUCGC
Molecule: small RNA, 28 nt
Filed under: Bombyx mori (domestic silkworm)
Lineage: Eukaryota; Metazoa; Arthropoda; Insecta; Lepidoptera; Bombycidae
Description: ovarian small RNA-4559
Source: RNAcentral